Molecule: ribosomal RNA, 378 nt
Filed under: uncultured bacterium
Lineage: Bacteria
Description: bacterial SSU rRNA
Rfam family: Bacterial small subunit ribosomal RNA
Source: RNAcentral
UAAUACGUAGGGUCCGAGCGUUGUCCGGAAUUAUUGGGCGUAAAGGGCUCGUAGGCGGUUUGUCACGUCGGGAGUGAAAACUUGGGGCUUAACCCCAUUCGUGCUUCCGAUACGGGCAGACUAGAGGCAGGCAGGGGAGAACGGAAUUCCUGGUGUAGCGGUGGAAUGCGCAGAUAUCAGGAGGAACACCGGUGGCGAAGGCGGUUCUCUGGGCCUGUUCUGACGCUGAGGAGCGAAAGCAUGGGGAGCGAACAGGAUUAGAUACCCUGGUAGUCCAUGCCGUAAACGUUGGGCGCUAGGUGUGGGAUCCAUUCCACGGGUUCCGUGCCGCAGCUAACGCAUUAAGCGCCCCGCCUGGGGAGUACGGCCGCAAGGCUA